CCCCUGACCACGGUUUUGUGAGCUUCCCAUUGGGAUUGUAUGGGGACCUCCUCAGACAUAUUUUCCUUGAAAUAAUUAGUUGCGGAUUCAAGGACAGUUUGCAUCGACGUGGGAUCGUCCAGAAGACUUUCGUUAAGUCUCCAUUUUCCUCUCCCUCGGAUUGGGUAUAGGCUACUAAGGGUGACAAUUACCGGGGUGUGGUCUGACCACGUCCGAAACCCUAUAUCUACUUCAGUUAUGUUUGUUAAGGUUAGUUUGUCUACCAGUGUGAGGUCAAUGCGUGAAUAGGUUGAGUGGAUUGGUGAGAAAUAUGAGUAGUCUCUACCUGUUGGAUAAAUGUUACGCCAGGAGUCAUAUAAGUCUAGUUCGAACAUAAUGUCGGACAAGGCUUUGCCAUUAUGAUAUGCGGAGGGGAUAGAUUUCUUAUUGUUCACCCGUUUAACAUCCAAGUUGGGGUCUGGGCUGCAAUUGAAGUCCC
Molecule: non-coding RNA, 478 nt
Organism: Pelobates cultripes (western spadefoot toad)
Lineage: Eukaryota; Metazoa; Chordata; Amphibia; Anura; Pelobatidae
Source: the annotation of a GenBank genome assembly